This is a small nucleolar RNA of Girardinichthys multiradiatus, 82 nucleotides long. Lineage: Eukaryota; Metazoa; Chordata; Actinopteri; Cyprinodontiformes; Goodeidae. The record is from RefSeq and is a predicted model, not a curated record.
CUUGUCAGUGAUGUUUUAUCCAAUGUUAUUUGAGUUUCAUUGACCAUGAGAAUACUUUACAUGCACUACCAUCUGAGACAUG